GAUGAACGCUGGCGGCGUGCCUAAUACAUGCAAGUCGAGCGAACAGACGAGGAGCUUGCUCCUCUGACGUUAGCGGCGGACGGGUGAGUAACACGUGGAUAACCUACCUAUAAGACUGGGAUAACUUCGGGAAACCGGAGCUAAUACCGGAUAAUAUAUUGAACCGCAUGGUUCAAUAGUGAAAGACGGUUUUGCUGUCACUUAUAGAUGGAUCCGCGCCGCAUUAGCUAGUUGGUAAGGUAACGGCUUACCAAGGCAACGAUGCGUAGCCGACCUGAGAGGGUGAUCGGCCACACUGGAACUGAGACACGGUCCAGACUCCUACGGGAGGCAGCAGUAGGGAAUCUUCCGCAAUGGGCGAAAGCCUGACGGAGCAACGCCGCGUGAGUGAUGAAGGUCUUCGGAUCGUAAAACUCUGUUAUUAGGGAAGAACAAAUGUGUAAGUAACUAUGCACGUCUUGACGGUACCUAAUCAGAAAGCCACGGCUAACUACGUGCCAGCAGCCGCGGUAAUACGUAGGUGGCAAGCGUUAUCCGGAAUUAUUGGGCGUAAAGCGCGCGUAGGCGGUUUUUUAAGUCUGAUGUGAAAGCCCACGGCUCAACCGUGGAGGGUCAUUGGAAACUGGAAAACUUGAGUGCAGAAGAGGAAAGUGGAAUUCCAUGUGUAGCGGUGAAAUGCGCAGAGAUAUGGAGGAACACCAGUGGCGAAGGCGACUUUCUGGUCUGUAACUGACGCUGAUGUGCGAAAGCGUGGGGAUCAAACAGGAUUAGAUACCCUGGUAGUCCACGCCGUAAACGAUGAGUGCUAAGUGUUAGGGGGUUUCCGCCCCUUAGUGCUGCAGCUAACGCAUUAAGCACUCCGCCUGGGGAGUACGACCGCAAGGUUGAAACUCAAAGGAAUUGACGGGGACCCGCACAAGCGGUGGAGC
Molecule: ribosomal RNA, 929 nt
Filed under: Staphylococcus epidermidis
Lineage: Bacteria; Bacillati; Bacillota; Bacilli; Caryophanales; Staphylococcaceae
Description: bacterial SSU rRNA
Rfam family: Bacterial small subunit ribosomal RNA
Source: RNAcentral